Molecule: RNA transcript, 9168 nt
Organism: Oncorhynchus keta (chum salmon)
Lineage: Eukaryota; Metazoa; Chordata; Actinopteri; Salmoniformes; Salmonidae
Gene name: seizure protein 6 homolog
Exons: 17
Source: RefSeq, a predicted model, not a curated record
ACAGAGAGCCAGGAAUCCGUUUACUGAGCGUUACAAUUAAACGGGCUCUGCGUUUCAGUUGAUUGUUGUCAGAUCUACUUAUUGCUCGACUUGCUAAAUAAGUGCAAAAGCAGCACUGCUUUUCUCUGUGUUUCACAGACCUCACGGACAUUUUAUUUAUCCGUUUGCUUAUUUUGCUCUGGAAAGUAUUUAAUACAAGGACGUAUUCUGUGAGCAGAGAGCGACUUCGACUUCAGUAGACAUGUAUAUAAGAAGAGACGACCAAUUACACGUCAUCUUUACGGUGUUGGUUCUCGCUGCUGCGGUGACAAGCAUACAUGGGCAAGUGUCUUCUCUAGAGAAUGGAAAUGUUGGGGGCCAGAGGAGAAUCGAAGCAGACAGCGGAGCCUUCACACACUCGUCCACACAGGACACAGAGAGUGAGAUCCACCAUUUUACCACAGCAUCCCCCAUGAACGUCCCCAACCACCGACCUGUCUUCAGAGGCUUCGCCCUACAUGAACUCCUGCUCACUAAAGAUUUCCAGGGAGACCAGCGGUUUUUCACAGACCAUGGAGACGUGGAAGGACAUCCCACAAUGCCCGGCUCUGUUACUGCCUUUGAGGGGGGGGAUGCCUCAACUCGCCUGGUGCCACAUGAGGACGCCCCUGCCUUCUCUGACAUCGCAACUACUGCCACGGUGGCUGCCACAACCCCCCUCACCAUCUCUGCUUCCACAGACCCUGGGCUACUGGUGAGCAUGGCUCAGAAUAACCAGUUUGCCAAGGACAAGUCCAGGGAGGCAGAGAAGGUGGCAGUGACCACAGACUCCCUGACCACCCCUGUAGUGGCAACCACUGCCCCUACAGUCAGUGGCCGCAGUCCCAAUGCCCCCCCCUUCCUGAAUGGAAGCGCCUAUGGUCAGGGGGAAGUUAUCAUGGAAGCCACCCUGCCCCCCCCUGUCCUGACCACCUCAGUUAGGGCGGAGAAAGGUGAGUCAGAGGAACCAGGGGUAAAGAACAAAACAGACCCUGGCAUCCAGCUCACCAAACUGACCCCCUUAUCCACAGGAGAGGUGGAUGAGGGAAUGACCACCACAACCAUCAUCACAACCACCACCAUCACCACCAUGCAGACACCAGGUCCCUGCACUGUGAAUUUCACUGACCCCGAGGGCCACAUCAAGAUUCCACAGCAGCAUUCUGCAGCGUUGUCGUCCGACCCUGGAGUGGAUUGCACCUAUGUGGUGACGGUCUACCUGGGAUACGGGAUUGAAGUACAGGUGCUGAACGUGAGCCUGUCUGAGGGGGAGGUGAUGACGGUGGAGGACAUGGGGGGACGGGAGUCCUCCAUCCUUGCCAACGAGACCGUCCUGAUGAGGGGUCUGGUGGUGCGCAGCUGGAGCAAUCAGAUCUCCAUCCGUUACCGCAGUGACCAGCAGCCUCGCUCCGGCUCCCUGCUGCUGCUGCGUUACCAAGCCUUCGUUCUAAGCUGUGCCUUCCCUAAGGAGCCAGCCAAUGGGGAAGUAUCAGUGACUCACCUCCAUGCUGGGGGAGAAGCCUACUUCCAGUGUCUGACCGGAUACCAGCUGCAAGGCCCCACCAUGCUCACCUGUCGCAACGCCACUACACCUUACUGGAGUGGCAAGGAGCCCAAAUGCCUGGCUUCCUGUGGUGGUAUGAUUAAAAAUGCCACGUUGGGCCGUAUUGUCUCUCCUGGAUUCCCUGGCAACUACAGCAACAACUUGACGUGCCAUUGGGUCCUGGAGGCUCCUGAAGGCCACCGGCUUCAUGUUCACUUUGAGAAAAUGGCUUUGGCUGAGGAUGAUGACAGACUCCUUAUUAAGAAUGGGAACAACAUUGACUCCCCUCCGCUGUAUGACUCCUACGAGGUGGAGUACCUGCCCAAUGAGGGCGUGGUGAGCACAGGCCGUCACCUCUUUGUGGAGUUCACCACAGAUGGGACGGUCACCUCUACAGGAGCAGCAAUCAGAUAUGAAGCUUUUGCAAAGGGCACAUGCUAUGGGCCCUUUGUGAAGUAUGGCAACUUCACCAGCAGUGACACGGCCUACGGUGUGGGUGCGGUGGUGGAAUUUGCCUGUGACCCUGGCUACACUCUGGAGCAGGGCUCAGUCAUCAUUGAAUGUCUGGACGCAGAGAACCCCCAGUGGAAUGAGACAGAGCCAGCCUGCAGGGCUGUGUGUAGUGGUGAAAUCACAGACUCAGCCGGGGUGGUUCUCUCUCCAAACUGGCCGGAGACCUACGACAAAGGCCAGGACUGCAUCUGGGGCAUCCACGUGGAAGAGGACAAGAGGAUUAUGCUGGACAUCCAAGUGCUCAAUGUGGGUAAGAAUGACCUGUUGACCUUCUACGAUGGUGAUGACCUAACAGCUAACAUCCUGGGUCAGUACAGUGGCACCAGGUCUCGCUUCAAGCUCUACACCUCUAUGGCUGAUGUCACCAUCCAGUUCCAAUCGGACCCUGCUACUAACAUCUACGGCUAUGGCAACGGCUUCGUGGUCCACUUCUUUGAGGUCCCCAGGAACGAUACAUGCUCUGAGCUGCCAGAGAUCACCAACGGCUGGAAGAGUACCUCCCACCCAGACCUGAUCCACGGGACAGUGGUCACCUACCAGUGUUACCCAGGUUACGAGGUGCAGGGCUCGGAGAUCCUAAUGUGCCAGUGGGACCUGACGUGGAGCGGAGAUGUGCCUAGCUGUGAGAAAGUAAUGACAUGUCCGGACCCGGGGACUGUGGAGCACAGUCGGAGGGUGCUGACGGGAUCCCGCUUCAUGGUGGGAUCAACGGUGCAGUAUGUGUGCAAUAAGGGCUACUCCCUGUCUGGAAGCACACUGCUCACCUGCUACAACAGAGACACAGCUAACCCCAAGUGGAGUGAGAGGCUUCCCAAGUGUAACCCGGAGAGGUACGAGCCCUGCAGGAACCCUGGCGCCCCAUCCACCAGCGUGCAGAGCUUAGAAAAGGCCUUCUACCAGGCCGGGGAGACCCUGAGCUUCACCUGUCGUACCGGCUAUGAGAUGCAGGGGGAGCCCACCAUCCGCUGUGUCCCUGGACACCCGUCACAGUGGAGCGGCACACCACCCACCUGUAGCGCAUCCUCCUCGCAGUAUUUGAACGAGCGCAAGUUGGAUGUUGCUAGUCCUGACUACGGUAUGGAAGGAAGCAACAUUGUCAUUGCUGUUCUGAUUCCUGCUGCGGUUGUACUGCUAGUCAUCCUGGGGAUUUACCUCUACUUUGCAAAACUUCAGGGGAAGACCAUCAGAAUGCCAACAUCAUCCUUGCCGCCGUAUGACAACAUGACAGAGGAGUCUGCCUUUAAUAACCCAAUCUAUGAGACAGGAGUAAGUAUGGAUGUCAUGCACAUGAAUCUCCGAGACGUGGACUCCCAGAACACCAUAGUCCUGUCCUGAUCCAUCUCAUCGUCAUCUGUCUGCCUGUCAUCUCAUGUUUAACCAGCUGAGGGCACUCUUCACACCGUCUCCCACCGCAGACACGGGGGUCUGAGCUGUGCCUCUCAAUUUGUGUUCUUGUGUUGAAUGCAGACAAGCACCUACAAAUUAUCUCUCUCAACUUUGAAGCGUGGAAGCCCUACAGUUUACUUAGCUUUAAAGCUUUAUAAAAAUAUGUGAAUUUUCCGUGGAUCAAUAGGAUUGUACAAGCACUCAAUCAGUAGAUUGGAUUAGGGACAGAUGUAGUGCACUACACAUAUGCGUUUCCAUUUGUGAUGACCUCUGUAGGUUCCAUUUUGAACUUUGCACAGUGCUUCUGUUCGGACUAUGAUUCUGGAUAGAUGUAUGUAAUAUUUUACUGCAUGAAGGUGAAAAAGCUUGAACAAAAAUGAUUAAUGUCAACUUCAAAGACACUUUAAAGCUCCUCCAUCUUUGUGUCAUCAUCAUCAUGUCAUUCACAUGGGAUUGAGUUCAUUGAGUCUUAUCCAUUAAUUAGUUUGAAUUACUUUUGAAAAGUGUACAUUUAUGGGCCCUAUCAGGGGCGCAACUCUGGUUUUAGAAGUGGGGGGGACAUAUUUAUUAUUAUUUUGUAUUAUACGUUUUUUUUAUCCAGUCGGAUAAACACUCCAAACAGCCUACCCGACCACUCAGAGAUGUCCGCAUGGUCCUGAAACACAUUGGUGCAUCGUUUUGUAUCGCAUUCCAAUGAUAAAACUGGGGGGGCCAAAAAUUAUAUUUCAGAAUGUCCCCAGUCCCCGUCCUCAGUGAAAGUUGCACCCCUGGACCCUAUUAUAAAUGAUUGUUUUUGAAUAACAUAGGCUAUAACAAAUGUCAAUGUACAAUAAUAGACUGUAUUUACAUCUACACUUAGUAUUGACGUUACUUUUAUGUGCUGCACACAACAUUUCAGAGCACUUAAAAUAACAACCAAAAUCCUUAGAUUUGACAUUUAGUUUGUCAGGAAUUCUUGUACUUGUCUUACAUAUUCCUUUGUCCAUAAGUCCUUCAUAUCUAUAUAGAUGUGUGUACAAAUAUAUCAGUUACGUGUAUUUGUUAGGUCAUUGAAAUGUAUUUGUUUUAUUUAAUGUGAGUGUUGGAUUUGUUGUGCAAUGUCACAGGCACAUUGUUCAAGCAACAGAAUGCUGCCAUGUCUAUUAUUGUGUUGUGUUAAACUAUUCAUCAUCUCUGUUACAAAUGUUAGUGAUGCAUAAAAUUCUCCUAAACUACAGCAACUUUGUGCUUGAUAAACCAUCUGACUUGAAUCAUGCCCUUGAUUCAAAAUAUUUUCCUAUUAGUCACUCUGCUGUGGGACUUGAGCGGAUGCUGUGUCUUUCUCAUUCUUUACUUUCAUGUGCUGGACUCCAUUUUGACUGGACCAUACUCUCCUCCUCCCGCUCUUCUUCCCAUCAGCCCCGGCAGGCGUUCUGUGAUUACUAAUGACUGUGUCUGUCUGUCCCUCCUUGGCUGCCUGCAGAAGAACAACGAGGGCAAAGGAGAUUAUGAGGUGACCAUUUAAAGACCUUACAGCUGGGAAUUCAGGGGUUUCUUUUUGGGAUCCUCUCUGCACCUCUCAUCUUACCUGCAAUGACUUCAGCUCCUAUUCCUCCCUCCUUCCUCUUUCUCUUAAUUCACUCCUUUUUGUGGGCUUUUGUAAAUAUCUCUUUCCAGAGGACUUCUACCAAAACUGCAAAGAUGGUGGAUCAACAUGGUGUUAUUUUUGUAGACCUUUGACGCAGAUGGCCUUUCUUUAGUGUUUGUACAUUUUCAUUUCAUAACUGAGCCCAGGACUGGUAAUAUUGUGGGGGGGAUACAUUUAGUUCAAAUGGUUUAGGUUUUAAGAUUUACAUAAGAAAUGUGAAGAACAAAUGUACGGUUUAUGCAUUGUCAUGGGUCUUGAAAUAUACAUUAUACAUGAAAAAUACAAAAUUACCCAAAGUUGUUUGAACAUUGUCCAAAUAUCAAUUUUGCUACUAUAAUUCAACCAUCCAGUCUAUAUAUGGGUUUUAAAUAUCACUUUGUAAAUAACCUGCCUGUCUAAUGUGAGGGUGUCUGCGACUUGAGGAAACAAAUUAGUGCUUUGUUCAAUUUGACUCACAGUUUUGUUGAGAGACUUUUUCUGUGGUAAAACAACUAUAAAUGUACACUUCCGGUCAAAAGUUUUAGAACGCCUACUCAUUCAAGGGUUUUUCUUUAUUUUUACUAUUUUCUACAUUGUGCAAUAAUAGUUAAGACAUCAAAACUAUGAAAUAACACAUGGAAUCAUGUAGUAACCAAAAAAGUGGUAAACAAAUCCAAAUAUAUUUUAUAUUUGAGAUUCUUCAAAUAGCCACCCCUUGCCUUGAUGACGGCUUUUGCACACUCUUGGCAUUUCUCUCAACCAGCUUCAUGAGGAAUGCACCCGGAAUGCAUUUCAAUAAACAGGUGUGCCUUCAUAAAAGUUCAUUUGUGGAUUUUCUUUCCUUCUUCAUGCAUUUGAGUCAAUCAGUUGUGUUGUGACAAGGUAGGGGGUAUACAGAAUAUAGCCCUAUUUGGUAAAAGACCGAGUCCAUAUUAUGGCAAGAACAGCUCCAAUAAGCAAAGAGAAAUGACAGUCCAUCAUUACCUUAAGACAUGAAAGUCAGUCAAUACGGAACAUUUCAAGAACUUUGAAAGUUUCUUCAAGUGUAGUCGCUAAAACUAUCAAGCACUAUGAUGAAACUGGCUCUCAUGAGGACCCUCACAGGAAUGGAAGACCCAGAGUUACCUCUGCUGCAGAGGAUAAGUUCAUUAGAGUUUACCAGCCUCAUAAAUUGCAGCCCAAAUAAAUGCUUCACAGAGUUCAAGUAACAGACACAUCCCAACAUCAACUGUUCAGAGGAGACUGUGUGAAUCAGGCCUUCAUGGUCAAAUUGCAUUAAAGAAAUCACUACUAAAGGACACCAAUAAGAAGAAGAGACUUGUUUGGGCCAAGAAACACGAGCAAAAGACAUUAGACCGGUGGAAAAUUGUCCUUUGGUGAGCCUAUAUUUGAGAUGUUUUGUUCCAACCGCUGUCUUUGUGAAAUGCGGUGUGGGUGAACGGAUGAUCUCUGUAUGUGUAUUUCCCACCAUAAAGCAUGGAGGAGGAGGUGUUAUGGUUUGGGGGUGCUUUGCUGGUGACACUGUCUGUGAUGGUUUUAGAAUUCAAGGCACACUUAACCAGCAUGGCUACCACAGCAUUCUGCAGUGAUACUUCAUCCCAUCUGGUUUGGGCUUAGUGGGACUAUCAUUUGUUUUAUACAGGACAAAGACCCAACACACCUCCAGGCUGCGUAAGUGCUAUUUGACCAAGAAGGAGAGUGAUGGAGUGCUGCAUCAGAUGACCUGGCCUCCUCAAUCCCCAGACCUCAAGCAAAUUGAGAUAGUUUGGGAUGAGUGAAUGAAAAGCAGCCAACAAGUGCUCAGCAUAUGUGGGAACUCCUUCAAGACUGUUGGAAAAGCAUUCCAGAUUAAGCUGGUUGAGAGAAUGCCAAGAGUGUGCAAAGCUGUCAUCAGGGCAAAGGAUGGCUACUUUGAAGAAUCUAAAAUCUAAAAUAGAUUUGGAUUUGUUUAACACUUUUUUGGUAACUACGUGGUUCCAUAUGUGUUAUUUCAUUGUUUUGAUGUAUUCACUAUUAGUCUACAAUGUAGAAAAUAGUCAAAAUAAAGAAAAACCCUUGAAUGAGUAGGUGCUCUAAAACGUUUGACCGGUAGUGUGCAUGUAAUGUAUAGCCCACAGUGUUAAGCUCCUCCUCAUGGCUGUUAUAGAAUUGGCGAAUACUCCACUAUCUCCUUGAUUAAACUAAUGUCAAAUCCCAACAGCUUUCUCUUGUCAUGCCAUCUGCAUUGAGAGUAUGCAUCAAUUCAAUGAAGGGAGGCCAUGAAGAUAAUAUGCCAUCUUCUACAAAGUGCUAUUCUGUAAAGUACACCAUCUUCAUGUACAUAGGAAUGCUCAUGGGCUACCCCUUGUUCAUUGCUGUCAUUAGUUUCUGUCUUUCCACACAAGAAAAUGCACUGCUUAAAAGUGCAAUAUGCAGAAAUCGCUCUGCCAUUUCCUGGUUGUUCUAAUUCUAAUAGUUUGCUUAAUUUCAGUUAAUGUGACAAAACAAGUGACCUAAUGUGUAGAGAAACAUUGUACCAUCUAAAACGCUGUGAAAUAUCUGUUCAAUUUUAUUUUCAGCUGUUUGAAGCUGGUGUACAAAGCCGAAAGUAAAAGAUGCGAAAACGAAACGGGAAGCAUAAAAAUAGCGCACAUCUACAGCUUCUUAGACUUGCUUUCAACGAUAAUGACAGAUCUAUCACUCACAUUUCUACGUCAAUUUGGUUGACCCCAAAAAAAUGACCUACUGCAGCUUUAAAGUCUUGAACUCCAACCACAACACUUGCUGGCGUCAAACAGCAUGUCAGAUAUUCAAACCUUGUGUACUUUUCUUCUCUUUGUAAAAUUAACAAUCCAAUCCAGUCCAAUUUGAGUUUGCAAAGAAACAACAGGUUUUAUUUUGAUUGUUUAUCUUUGUUGUUGGCUCUAUAAAUGUUAAAUGUACUCACUUCUUUGGUAUCAUUAUGUACAGUCUCUUUGGUCAUUAAGUGGGGUCCGGAAUGAUUGACACCCUUGAUAAAGAUUAGCAAAAAUGACUGUAUAAAAUAUCUCAUUCAAAUAUUGAGCUGCUGUAUAUUGUAUGCAACAAAAAAGUGGGAAAUUAUAUUAGUUUAUACCAAUACAAUGCUCAGAGAAAGAGAUUUCUUUUUUUUGUUGAAUUCCUCAAAAAGGUAGGGGUAAAAAUGAUUGACUCCCUUGUUUUCAAUACCUUUCAAUACCUAACGGCACUGAGCCUUUUUCUAAAAUGUUUUAUGAGUUGGAGAACACAUUGGGAGGGAUCAUUCCUCCUUACAGAAUCCUUACAGAUCCUAGAUAUCUAUUGCACAGAUGCUCAUGGACUGCCCUUUUCAAAUUUAAACCACAGCUUGUAAUACUAAGAAUCAGAAAUUAGUUAGCAUUUUCCAAUGAAAACUUUGCAAUGGCCAUCUCAGUCUACACUAUGGACUUAAAACCCAUUAAAGGCCUGUGUUUUGUAUUGAAGGGAUAUGUCCAUGAACACAGACAAAGGAUAUCAAGGAUUCGGGAAUCAUUAUGUAUGGAGGAAUGGUCUAAGAUCCUACCCAAUGUGUUUUCCAACUCGUAAAAUACUUGUUUUAAAGGCUGUCGUUAUACUUGCAAGGUGAGGUAUUGAAAACAGGAGUCUUAUUCAUUUUGACUCCUACCUUUUUGAGAUAGAAAAUAUUACAUUACUUGUUAAUAUUUUUGUAUAUAAUUUAGCUUAGUAUUUUAAUCAUUUAUUUUAUACAGUCAUUUUUGCUCAUCUUUAUCAAGGUUCUCAAUAAUUCCGGACCCCACUGUUUAGUACAAAACGAUGAUUGCCCAACAAUUGUAAAUUCAGAGUAAGUUGUAGGGUGGGUGUAUAUUUUAUUACUCAAAAUCUGAAUAAAAAGAACUGCAUUACUGUGAAAUAUUCCCAGAGAGUCAGAUUGUUUAAAAAUUAUUUAGAGAAUUGCAAGAAAUUAAGAACCUUUUCUGACAGAGAACUGUCAUAUCCUGCUGAUUGAUUGCAUUGAUGGUCCAAAAUAAAUGUGAAAUGCACCUUUACAUGAGUGAGUCAGUCAAUUGACUUUGGGUAUGUUAAAAGAGAAGAAUAAUACUAAUAAAGAUGGCAAGAUAUCUAUUUA